UUAAAUUGAAGAGUUUGAUCAUGGCUCAGAUUGAACGCUGGCGGCAGGCCUAACACAUGCAAGUCGAACGGUAACAGGAAGCAGCUUGCUGCUUCGCUGACGAGUGGCGGACGGGUGAGUAAUGUCUGGGAAACUGCCUGAUGGAGGGGGAUAACUACUGGAAACGGUAGCUAAUACCGCAUAACGUCGCAAGACCAAAGAGGGGGACCUUCGGGCCUCUU
This 221-nucleotide ribosomal RNA is filed under the name Escherichia coli. Its description in RNAcentral is "partial 16S ribosomal RNA". It matches the Rfam family "Bacterial small subunit ribosomal RNA", at positions 1 to 218 of the family's 1533-position model. The record is from RNAcentral. Lineage: Bacteria; Pseudomonadati; Pseudomonadota; Gammaproteobacteria; Enterobacterales; Enterobacteriaceae.